AAGGACUGCCGAAGACAGUAGGUGCUUUUUGAAGCGUAAGGAUGAAUACGCCUACCGAGGGAUGAUUGAUACGAAGCGUAUGAUUUUUUGAACCUCUGUGUCUUGGAUGCAGAGGUUUUUUUAUA
RNAcentral lists this small RNA (125 nucleotides) under uncultured Dorea sp. RNAcentral describes it as "Ribosomal protein L10 leader". It matches the Rfam family "Ribosomal protein L10 leader", at positions 17 to 133 of the family's 138-position model. Rfam says of the family: This family is a putative r-protein leader autoregulatory structure found in B. subtilis and other low-GC Gram-positive bacteria. Lineage: Bacteria; Bacillati; Bacillota; Clostridia; Lachnospirales; Lachnospiraceae. The record is from RNAcentral.